RNAcentral lists this ribosomal RNA (568 nucleotides) under Pseudopaludicola falcipes (Hensel's swamp frog). RNAcentral's name for it is "partial large subunit ribosomal RNA". It matches the Rfam family "Bacterial large subunit ribosomal RNA", at positions 1816 to 2597 of the family's 2925-position model. Lineage: Eukaryota; Metazoa; Chordata; Amphibia; Anura; Leptodactylidae. The record is from RNAcentral.
CGCCUCUUGAAAAACAUAAGAGGUCCAGCCUGCCCAGUGACUUAUGUUCAACGGCCGCGGUAUCCUAACCGUGCGAAGGUAGCGCAAUCACUUGUUCUUUAAAUAAGGACUAGUAUGAAUGGCAUCACGAGGGUUAUACUGUCUCCUUUUUCUAAUCAGUGAAACUAAUCUUCCCGUGAAGAAGCGGGAAUAAUUUUAUAAGACGAGAAGACCCUAUGGAGCUUUAAACUAAACAACAAGUAUCUACUUAUUCUAAAUUCAAGAAAAACCAAAAUUAUUCAGAUAUUAUGAUUGCUAGUUUUAGGUUGGGGUGACCAUGGAGAACAAUACAACCCCCAUGUCGAAAUGAUUUUAAAAAUCUAAGCUGCGAGUAACAACUCCAAGCAUCAACACCUUGACGUCAAUUGACCCAAUUUUUGAUCAACGAACCAAGUUACCCUAGGGAUAACAGCGCAAUCCACUUCAAGAGCUCAUAUCGACAAGUGGGUUUACGACCUCGAUGUUGGAUCAGGAUAUCCUAGUGGUGCAGCCGCUACUAAAGGUUCGUUUGUUCAACGAUUAAAAUCCU